RNAcentral lists this ribosomal RNA (488 nucleotides) under uncultured bacterium. Its description in RNAcentral is "partial 16S ribosomal RNA". It matches the Rfam family "Bacterial small subunit ribosomal RNA", at positions 28 to 507 of the family's 1533-position model. The record is from RNAcentral.
GACGAACGCUGGCGGCGUGCUUAACACAUGCAAGUCGAACGGAAAGGCCCUGCUUUUGUGGGGUGCUCGAGUGGCGAACGGGUGAGUAACACGUGAGUAACCUGCCCUUGACUUUGGGAUAACUUCAGGAAACUGGGGCUAAUACCGGAUAGGAGCUCCUGCUGCAUGGUGGGGGUUGGAAAGUUUCGGCGGUUGGGGAUGGACUCGCGGCUUAUCAGCUUGUUGGUGGGGUAGUGGCUUACCAAGGCUUUGACGGGUAGCCGGCCUGAGCGGGUGACCGGCCACACGGGGACGGAGACAGGGGCAAGACGCGUACGGGAGGCAGCGGGAGGGAAGUGUACGAAAUGGGCGAAAGUCUGACGGAGCAAGGCGGCGGUAGUGAUGAAGGGAUUCGGAGCGUAAAACGCGGUUAGUAGGGAAGAAAAAAGGUGUAAGUAACUAGGCACGGCUUGACGGUACCGAAUCAGAAAGCCACGGCUAACUACGUG